CAACAAAUCACAGUCUACCAUA
This 22-nucleotide microRNA is filed under the name Lepisosteus oculatus (spotted gar). RNAcentral's name for it is "Loc-Mir-7-P2_3p* (star (passenger))". RNAcentral also lists the same sequence under 2 other names. The record is from RNAcentral. Lineage: Eukaryota; Metazoa; Chordata; Actinopteri; Semionotiformes; Lepisosteidae.